GACGAACGCUGGCGGCGUGCCUAAUACAUGCGAGUUGAGCGCUGAAGGUUGGUACUUGUACCAACUGGAUGAGCAGCGAACGGGUGAGUAACGCGUGGGGAAUCUGCCUUUGAGCGGGGGACAACAUUUGGAAACGAAUGCCAAUACCGCAUAAAAACUUUAAACACAAGUUUUAAGUUUGAAAGAUGCAAUUGCAUCACUCAAAGAUGGUCCCGCGUUGUAUUAGCUAGUUGGUGAGGUAAAGGCUCACCAAGGCGAUGAUACAUAGCCGACCUGAGAGGGUGAUCGGCCCCAUUGGGACUGAGACACGGCCCAAACUCCUACGGGAGGCAGCAGUAGGGAAUCUUCGGCAAUGGACGAAAGUCUGACCGAGCAACGCCGCGUGAGUGAAGAAGGUUUUCGGAUCGUAAAACUCUGUUGGUAGAGAAGAACGUUGGUGAGAGUGGAAAGCUCAUCAAGUGACGGUAACUACCCAGAAAGGGACGGCUAACUACGUG
RNAcentral lists this ribosomal RNA (497 nucleotides) under uncultured bacterium. RNAcentral describes it as "partial 16S ribosomal RNA". It matches the Rfam family "Bacterial small subunit ribosomal RNA", at positions 28 to 507 of the family's 1533-position model. The record is from RNAcentral.